CUACGGGCCGCAGCAGUGAGGAAUUUUGCGCAAUGGGGGAAACCCUGACGCAGCAACGCCGCGUGAGCGAAGAAGGCCCUCGGGUCGUAAAGCUCUGUCAAGUGGGAAAAAAAUUUUUUGAUCAUUAGUCAAAAGACUUGAUGGUACCACUGGAGGAAGCACCGGCUAACUCCGUGCCAGCAGCCGCGGUAAUACGGAGGGUGCGAGCGUUGUUCGGAUUUACUGGGCGUAAAGAGCGUGUAGGCGGUUUAGCAAGUCAGAUGUGAAAGCCCUGGGCUCAACCCGGGAAGUGCAUUUGAAACUGCUUCACUAGAGUAUGGGAGAGGAGAUUGGAAUUCCUGGUGUAGAGGUGAAAUUCGUAGAUAUCAGGAGGAACACCCGUGGCGAAGGCGAUUCUCUGGACCAAUACUGACGCUGAGACGCGAAAGCGUGGGGAGCAAACAGGAUUAGAUACCCUUGUAGUC
This 464-nucleotide ribosomal RNA is filed under the name uncultured bacterium. RNAcentral describes it as "partial 16S ribosomal RNA". It matches the Rfam family "Bacterial small subunit ribosomal RNA", at positions 339 to 795 of the family's 1533-position model. The record is from RNAcentral.